This 254-nucleotide ribosomal RNA is filed under the name uncultured bacterium. RNAcentral's name for it is "partial 16S ribosomal RNA". It matches the Rfam family "Bacterial small subunit ribosomal RNA", at positions 524 to 776 of the family's 1533-position model. The record is from RNAcentral.
UACGUAGGGUGCGAGCGUUGUCCGGAAUUAUUGGGCGUAAAGAGCCCGUAGGCGGUGUGUCGCGUCGGCCGUGAAAACCUGCAGCUUAACUGUGGGCUUGCGGUCGAUACGGGCAUCACUGGAGUUCGGCAGGGGAGACUGGAAUUCCUGGUGUAGCGGUGAAAUGCGCAGAUAUCAGGAGGAACACCGGUGGCGAAGGCGGGUCUCUGGGCCGAUACUGACGCUGAGGAGCGAAAGCGUGGGGAGCGAACAGG